GAUUAUCUGAGGAUCUAAGUCCAGCCCUUGUUACCCAUUGGAAUGAACAACAAGGAGGUUCAAAAGGUUUCCCUGUGUAUAGACUGAAAUAGAAUAACCUGACCUUUUGGACGUUUGCCAACGAUUUUUCCCAUCCUUUCAUCCAGAGGUUCUCAAUGUGUGGUCCCCUGACCAGCAGCGUCACCAUUACCUGGGCACUUGUUAGAAAUGCGAAUUAUCAGGUAGUCCUGACCACAGAAUAAUCAGUCUAUGUUUUAACCAGCCUUGAGGCGAUUCUGAUGUGCGCUCAAUUUGAGAAUU
Molecule: long non-coding RNA, 300 nt
Organism: Lagenorhynchus albirostris (white-beaked dolphin)
Lineage: Eukaryota; Metazoa; Chordata; Mammalia; Artiodactyla; Delphinidae
Exons: 2
Source: RefSeq, a predicted model, not a curated record